This 253-nucleotide ribosomal RNA is filed under the name uncultured bacterium. RNAcentral's name for it is "partial 16S ribosomal RNA". It matches the Rfam family "Bacterial small subunit ribosomal RNA", at positions 524 to 776 of the family's 1533-position model. The record is from RNAcentral.
UACGAAGGGUGCAAGCGUUAGUCGGAAUUACUGGGCGUAAAGCGUGCGUAGGCGGUUUCCUAAGUCGGAUGUGAAAGCCCUGGGCUCAACCUGGGAAUGGCACUCGAUACUGGGAAGCUGGAGUGCGGUAGAGGAGGGUGGAAUUCCCGGUGUAGCGGUGAAAUGCGUAGAGAUCGGGAGGAACAUCAGUGGCGAAGGCGACCCUCUGGACCAGCACUGACGCUGAGGCACGAAAGCGUGGGGAGCGAACAGG